AAGCGGCGGAGCAUGCGGAUUAAUUCGAUGCAACGCGAAGAACCUUACCAAGGCUUGACAUGCACCGGACGACUGCAGAGAUGUGGUUUCCCUUUGUGGCUGGUGCACAGGUGGUGCAUGGUUGUCGUCAGCUCGUGUCGUGAGAUGUUGGGUUAAGUCCCGCAACGAGCGCAACCCUCGUUCUAUGUUGCCAGCGGUUCGGCCGGGGACUCAUAGGAGACUGCCGGGGUCAACUCGGAGGAAGGUGGGGAUGACGUCAAAUCAUCAUGCCCCUUACGUCUUGGGCUUCACGCAUGAUACAAUGGCCGGUACAAAGGGCUGCGAUCCCGUGAGGGGGAGCGAAUCCCAGAAAGCCGGUCUCAGUUCGGAUUGGGGUCGGCAACUCGACCCCAUGAAGUCGGAGUCGCUAGUAAUCGCAGAUCAGCAAC
Molecule: ribosomal RNA, 428 nt
Filed under: uncultured bacterium
Lineage: Bacteria
Description: bacterial SSU rRNA
Rfam family: Bacterial small subunit ribosomal RNA
Source: RNAcentral